GAUGAAGAACGUAGUGAAAUGCGAUACGUAAUGUGAAUUGCAGAUUUCAGUGAAUCAUCGAGUCUUUGAACGCACAUUGCGCCCCCUGGUAUUCCGGGGGGCAUGCCUGUCCGAGCGUCAUUGCUGCCCUCAAGCACGGCUUGUGUGUUGGGCCCCGCCCCCCGGCUCCCGGGGGGCGGGCCCGAAAGGCAGCGGCGGCACCGCGUCCGGUCCUCGAGCGUAUGGGGCUUCGUCACCCGCUCCGUAGGCCCGGCCGGCGCCCGCCGGCGACCCCCCUCAAUCUUUUCAGGUUGACCUCGGAUCAGGUAGGGAUACCCGCUGAACUUAAGCAUAUCAAUAAGCGGAGGA
This 348-nucleotide unclassified non-coding RNA is filed under the name soil metagenome. RNAcentral describes it as "partial contains 5.8S ribosomal RNA, internal transcribed spacer 2, and large subunit ribosomal RNA". The stretch from base 1 to 120 matches the Rfam family "5.8S ribosomal RNA", at positions 35 to 154 of the family's 154-position model. The record is from RNAcentral.